This 378-nucleotide ribosomal RNA is filed under the name uncultured eukaryote. RNAcentral's name for it is "partial 18S ribosomal RNA". It matches the Rfam family "Eukaryotic small subunit ribosomal RNA", at positions 592 to 976 of the family's 1831-position model. The record is from RNAcentral.
CAAUAGCGUAUAUUUAAGUUGUUGCAGUUAAAAAGCUCGUAGUUGGAUUUCGGGUGGGACGCAGCGGUCUCGCAUUGCGUUUGUACUGCUGCAGCCCUCCUUCUUGCCGGGGGCGGCCUCUCGGACUUCACUGUCUGGGGGUCAGAAUCGGCGAUGUUACUUUGAUUAAAUUAGAGUGUUCAAAGCAAGCUUACGCUCUGAAUAUAAUAGCAUGGGAUAACACGACAGGACUCUGGCCUAUCGUGUUGGUCUAUAGGACCAGAGUAAUGAUUAAGAGGGACAGUCGGGGGCAUUCGUAUUCCGUUGUCAGAGGUGAAAUUCUUGGAUUUACGGAAGACGAACAUCUGCGAAAGCAUUUGCCAAGGAUGUUUUCAUUGA